RNAcentral lists this ribosomal RNA (301 nucleotides) under uncultured bacterium. RNAcentral describes it as "partial 16S ribosomal RNA". It matches the Rfam family "Bacterial small subunit ribosomal RNA", at positions 509 to 809 of the family's 1533-position model. The record is from RNAcentral.
CAGCCGCCGCGGUAAUACGAAGGGUGCAAGCGUUACUCGGAAUUACUGGGCGUAAAGCGUGCGUAGGCGGCUUUUUAAGUCGGAUGUGAAAUCCCUGAGCUUAACUUAGGAAUUGCAUUCGAUACUGGGAAGCUAGAGUAUGGGAGAGGAUGGUAGAAUUCCAGGUGUAGCGGUAAAAUGCGUAGAGAUCUGGAGGAAUACCGAUGGCGAAGGCAGCCAUCUGGCCUAAUACUGACGCUGAGGUACGAAAGCAUGGGGAGCAAACAGGAUUAGAUACCCCUGUAGUCCCUGUCUCUUAUAA